Long non-coding RNA from Dermacentor albipictus, 718 nucleotides. RefSeq lists it as uncharacterized. The record is from RefSeq and is a predicted model, not a curated record. Lineage: Eukaryota; Metazoa; Arthropoda; Arachnida; Ixodida; Ixodidae.
AAGUACUUCAACGGCUGCACCUCGAGCGUUCAAGGCAGCACCCUCGUCGCAGCAGCAGAGACGCGCAGGCUCGUGCUCGGGUUCGCCGGCGCUCCGGGCACCUGCUGACGCAAGCAGAAUAAAUCUAGUUUUCGUUUGGGCCUCCCGUCCCCUCUCUAGGCUUCGCUCUGUCCAAGGCCCCACAGCGCGAGCCUGGCUGUCUCUGUUGCUUCGACGAUGGCACUGCCAUGACCGAGGUGCAGCCGCUACAGUACCUUCGGUCGCGCACUACCACCGCGGCGAGGAGAAGACGGCCCGACGAAGAAAUACUGAAGUUCUAGCUAACCGGCGCCAUAGUUAGGGGUCAAACGCAAACAAGCGGCGGCGAAUGAACGGUGCCUCGCCGCCUUCCACGUAUAACCGUUCACCAAGGAGGGGCAAGACGCCGGGCAGUUCGCUGCACUGAAGCAGAAAAGACCAAUCGCUUUGGAAUACGGACGAGAAGAAUCCAUGGAAGCAGCGCAUCGUGCGUCAAGAACAAGUCAUGAACAGUGCUGACGCCCCAGCUCUCCCGAUGGCUGGCGGAAACCUCGUAACCCUAGAUUAUGCGACUGCGCGCUGUGACUGGAGAACACUGGACAACAAAAUAAAGUGAAACACGAGGAGAACGUUCAGCGGUGGCUCGAACAACAAACGGGUCCAAAAACAAGAGAGAGAAAGAAAGACCGAGCAAUUGCUU